RNAcentral lists this ribosomal RNA (208 nucleotides) under uncultured Mesotoga sp. Its description in RNAcentral is "partial 16S ribosomal RNA". It matches the Rfam family "Bacterial small subunit ribosomal RNA", at positions 568 to 774 of the family's 1533-position model. Lineage: Bacteria; Thermotogati; Thermotogota; Thermotogae; Kosmotogales; Kosmotogaceae. The record is from RNAcentral.
AGCGUAGGUGGCCUAACAUGUCAACUGUGAAAACCCGGAGCUCAACUCCGGACUUGCAGUUGAAACUGGUAGGCUUGAGGACGGUAGAGGAAGACGGAACUGCCAGUGUAGGGGUAAAAUCCUUAGAUAUUGGCAGGAACGCCGGUGACGAAGGUGGUUUUCUGGGCCGGUUCUGACACUGAUGCUCGAAAGCCAGGGGUAGCGAACG